RNAcentral lists this ribosomal RNA (247 nucleotides) under uncultured bacterium. RNAcentral's name for it is "partial 16S ribosomal RNA". It matches the Rfam family "Bacterial small subunit ribosomal RNA", at positions 109 to 353 of the family's 1533-position model. The record is from RNAcentral.
AGUAACACGUGGGCAACCUGCCUUANAGAGGGGAUAGCCUUCCGAAAGGAAGAUUAAUACCGCAUAUUAUGAUUUUUCUGCAUGGGAAAGUCAUGAAAGGAGCAAUCCGCUGUAAGAUGGGCCCGUGGCGCAUUAGCUAGUUGGUGAGGUAAGGGCUCACCAAGGCGACGAUGCGUAGCCGACCUGAGAGGGUGAUCGGCCACAUUGGGACUGAGACACGGCCCAGACUCCUACGGGAGGCAGCAUG